UGGAGAGGAAACAUUAUCAAUGGUUUUAUCCGGCAGUGAACCUUGAAUUGAGAACACCAACCAGCUUGACAAGUUAAGGCAGCAACUGGUUACGGUGCUGAGAAUAAGUGACUGUGAGUGCUGAGGAGGGAGGGUACUGUGAAACGAUCUUCUGGACACAACAAACUCACUGUCGCCGUGGUGACCUGCUCAAGACCUGCACAGGAUCAGAGAUGGAGAAGAGCCUAGUGGCUGCCAAGGGCUGGAGGUGAAGGGGAAAGAUGUGGUAAUGAGAGCAAACCUGCUCUGACGGCACCGUCCCACGCCAGACUGUACCAAGUCACUGUCUGCAUGGCUUUUCCCCCGGGAAAGCAGGGGAAGUGGAGGCAGGUGAUAAAUUCCAGGCAAGCCUGAUCUACAUAGUGAGUUCCCGGCCAGCCACAGGCUACAUAGAGACCCUGUCUCAAAAGAAAAAGAAAAGCAAUUUUACAUGUGGCGGGAUUCCUGUCACGAUGUGACCCACCAUCCUGAUGCUACCUGGCGC
This is a long non-coding RNA of Meriones unguiculatus (Mongolian gerbil), 523 nucleotides long. RefSeq lists it as uncharacterized. The record is from RefSeq and is a predicted model, not a curated record. NCBI's taxonomy places the organism in Eukaryota, Metazoa, Chordata, Mammalia, Rodentia, Muridae. The transcript has 4 exons.